AUCCACGAGGUAUUUGCUUAGACAUUUAGAAAAUGUCUUUAAGAUGUUUGUGAUUUAAAAUGUAAGAGACAUUUAUCAGAUGUUUGUACACAGCAGAUGCUUUCCAGACAAACCUUCUCAAAAAGACAUCUUGGAGACCAUCCAGGCUGAAAGUGUUUAAAAACUACAUUUUUACAUACAUUCUAAAUCAUAAACAUCUUAAAAACAUUUUAGAAAUGACUAUUUAACAUCUGACAAGAAACGCCUCAUCAGCCUGAUUUGGACGGUUAUUAUUUCUCAUGGGGACAUAAGCGAUUUUCAACAUUUACAGGGAACCUUCACUCUCUCUGUUCCUCUCUGGUGGAUUGAGCUGCCAACUUCCACCUGAUCUGCUGAGACAUCACAACGUUCAAUGAAGAGCUGAAGACAUCUCUUUCCUUUCUUCUCUACAUUUCACCACUGGUCUAGCUUGUUUACUCAAAUUUUUAUUUAAACUGGAAUUUUCUAAAAUAUUGAAAUAAAAGGUGAAGACUUUUUGUGGUCUAAACCAGAGGUUUUUAAACCUGUACUGGAGGCCCUCCAGUACCACACAUUUUGUAUGUCUCCCUUAUCACACCCAAUUCAGGUCUUUUAGUCUCAACUAAUAAGCUGAUGAGUUGAAUCUGGUGUGUUAGCUGAGGGAGACAUUUAAAAUGUGCAGUUCUGGGAGUGUUUCUGGGGCAGGCUUAAAACCCCUGGUCUAAGCUUCUAUAAGAUACCUGUAGCUCCCAGUAGUACAUAUGCAAAUUCUAAAAUAUAAUACAAGUUUCAUAAAGUAAGAAAUUUUCUUGGAUUUGGGUCUUGGACUGUGUCAGUGUAACCCCCACCCUGGGUCCUGCUUGCACCCGCUCCGAAUGGGACUUGACCCCGGGAUGCCAGCAUAGGAGGCGGGCACACUAACAAGGAAGCUAAAGACUGCAGCCCCUAGAAUCAGUUGCUAGUGCGCCUCUUGAGAUCAGGGAAGUGAGGUUUACCUGCACAGCACCUGCCAACUGGCCUGUGUUACAUCAGCUUCUUGAUUCCGGGAUUUCAGCAUGUUGUGAUGCUGAACAAUGCUGAACAUUGUGAGCCCUGUUUAACGCAUAAUAUUUAACGCAUAUUUGAUACUAGCAUCGAGUAGUACAGGGAGGAUUCAGAUAGACCUCAGAUAGAUUAUACUGGCACAGUUUUCAGUAAAUAUGAAGCAAGAUCACAUGAUUUAUAGACAGACUGAGGUAAAAGACAAGGGGUCUGAAGGCC
This is a long non-coding RNA of Cyprinus carpio carpio, 1257 nucleotides long. The record is from Ensembl. Lineage: Eukaryota; Metazoa; Chordata; Actinopteri; Cypriniformes; Cyprinidae.